This 26-nucleotide non-coding RNA is filed under the name Cricetulus griseus (Chinese hamster). The record is from RNAcentral. Lineage: Eukaryota; Metazoa; Chordata; Mammalia; Rodentia; Cricetidae.
CAUGGUACAAUUGGAGAACCCCUGCC